Long non-coding RNA from Zeugodacus cucurbitae (melon fly), 2636 nucleotides. RefSeq lists it as uncharacterized. NCBI's taxonomy places the organism in Eukaryota, Metazoa, Arthropoda, Insecta, Diptera, Tephritidae. The transcript is spliced from 2 exons. The record is from RefSeq and is a predicted model, not a curated record.
UAUAAGACAUGACGCUUUCGAAAUCAGCUGAUCCAAAAUAAAAUAAAUUUAAAGUGAUAUCCGGCUGUUAUUUUUUAAUAUAUUCAAAGUGAUUGGAACAUUAAAUUGUAGAUAAAUAUAAAUUAAUGAAAACUAAAGAAAUUCAAUUCAUAGUGCCUCCUAAUUUGGGACCGAGAAGGUAAUCUAGUAACGGAUGUCCAGAGCACACUGGGAAUAUGGAGGGAACACUUCUCCGUCCUGCUCAAUGUCAGUGAAAGUACAACACCAGGAGAUGGCGAACCCGAUUCCCCAAUCGAUGACGAUGGAAUAGAUGUUCCAUUACCCGACCAUGAAGAAAUUCGAAUAGCAAUUACCCGCUUGAAGAACAACAAAGCGGCGGGGGCCGAUGGAUUACCGGCCGAGCUAUUCAAAUACGGCGGCGAAGAACUAAUAAGGUCAUGCAUCAGCUUCUUUGUAGAAUAUGGUCGGAAGAAAGCAUGCCUGACGAUUGGAAUCUUAGUGUGCUCUGCCCAAUCCAUAAGAAGGGAGACCCCACAAUCUGCGCCAACUACCGUGGUAUAAGUCUCCUCAAUAUCGCAUAUAAGGUUUCGUCGAGCGUAUUGUGUGAAAGACUAAAGCCCACCGUCAACGAACUGAUUGGACCUUAUCAGUGUGGCUUUAGACCUGGAAAAUCCACAAUGGACUAGAUAUUCACCAUGCGCCAAAUCUUGGAUAAGACCCGAGAGAGAAGAAUCGAUACUCACCAUCUUUUUAUCGAUUUUAAAGCUGCCUUCGAUAGCACGAAAAGGAGCUGCCUUUAUGCCGCGAUGUCUGAAUUUGGUAUCCCUGCAAAACUAAUACGGCUAUGUAAGCUGACGUUGAGCAACACCAAAAGCUCCGUCAGGAUCGGGAAGGACCUCUCCGAGCCGUUCGAUACCAAACGAGGCUUCAGACAGGGUUACUCACUAUCGUGCGACUUCUUCAAUCUAUUGCUGGAAAAAAUAAUACGAGCUGCAGAACUAAAUAGAGAGGGUACAAUCUUCUACAAGAGUGUACAGCUCCUGGCGUAUGCCGAUGAUAUUGAUAUCGUCGGAAGCAACAACCGCGCCGUUUGUUCUGCGUUUUCCAGACUAGAUAAAGAAGCGAAGCGUAUGGGUCUGGUGGUGAAUGAGGACAAGACGAAAUAUCUCCUGUCAUCAAACACACAGUCAGCGCACUCGCGUCUUGGUUCCCACGUCACUGUUGACAGUCAUAACUUUGAAGUUGUAGAUAAUUUCGUUUAUCUGGGAACCAGCAUUAACAACACCAACAAUGUCAGCCUUGAAAUCCAACGCAGAAUCACUCUUGCCAACAGGUGCUACUUUGGACUGAGUAGGCAAUUGAAAAGUAAAGUCCUCUCUUGACGAACCAAAAUCAAACUCUAUAAGUCGCUCAUUAUUCCCGUCCUGAUGUAUGGCGCUGAAGCGUGGACGAUGACAACAUCCGAUGAGACGACUCUUGGGGUUUUCGAGAGAAAGGUUUUGCGCAAGAUUUAUGGUCCUCUAAACAUUGGCAAUGGCGAAUACCGCAGACGAUGGAACGGUGAGCUGUACGAUUUAUACGACGACAUUGACAUAGUUCAGCGAAUAAAAAGACAGCGGCUACGCUGGCUAGGUCAUGUUGUACGGAUGGAAGAAAACACUCCAGCUCUGAAAGUAUUCGAUGCAGUACCCGCUAGAGGAAGUCGCGGAAGAGGACGACCUCCACUCCGGUGGAAAGACCAAGUGCAAAGUGACCUGGCUUCACUUGGUGUUUCCAGUUGGCGCCAAAAAGCAAAAAGGAGGAAUGAGUGGCGUGCUAUAUAUAUAUAUAUAUAUAUAAAGAACAUGGGCUACAUGCUGACACUGUUUAUGCUUGUAGUUGCUCAUCGAUUCUCCGCGUAAUAUUAAAAUGAUUUCAAAAAAAAUUUAAACGUGUCUUGCUUUUGAAGCAUGCAUAAAAAUACUUACUGCGUCAAUAGUAUUUGAAACAAAAUUUUUGCUUGUUAUUAGCACUUAGUGAGAUUUGGUAGUGUCUGAUAGUAAAACUGAAUACGAAUCAUAUUACAUACUUACGUGCAGAUAAGCGUUUAAAUCAACCAAGUCUGUGAAAUGUACAUAUAAGUAUAAUACUUCCAACAUUUAUUUCGAUUCGUUGUGUGCUUUGUAAAAUUGAAUUUAUAAAUUUCCUUUUCUACAAAGCGUUGUACGAAAAUUCUUAACAAUUACAAUUUUAAAAUAGUGUAAACAAUUUUCGUUAGUAAAUUAGAUUAGGGUGUUUUCGUUAGACAUAAUUUUGUUAAAUGUACAGCUAACUCUUAUCCUGCUUACUCGCGCUAUGAGGCGUAACUCUCGUUGAGCUAUUUAAAGCUAUGCACUUGAGGAGCUUGAGUACUUCGAAAUUACUUUUGUAUGCGAGACAAAAGUAACAAAAGCCGCAUGCUCCACGACGCUGCUCAAAAAUAAUUUGGAAACGUCUAUUCCAAAAUUCAAAUACUCGGUCAACUGCUUUUAUAUGCAUCGGUCGUAUUUCAUAUACUACCAAAUUAUAAUUCUGCUGGAGGAAGGUGUUGUUGUUUUUGCUAAUAUUAAAUCACGUAUUUCGUCGUCAUCUAAGUCGUUACUAAAUGCGCGUAUAAG